Molecule: ribosomal RNA, 454 nt
Filed under: uncultured bacterium
Lineage: Bacteria
Description: bacterial SSU rRNA
Rfam family: Bacterial small subunit ribosomal RNA
Source: RNAcentral
UACGGAAGGCAGCAGUGGGGAAUAUUGCACAAUGGGCGAAAGCCUGAUGCAGCUAUGCCGCGUGUAUGAAGAAGGCCUUAGGGUUGUAAAGUACUUUCAUCGGGGAGGAAAAAACAAAACUAAUAAUUUUAUUUCUUGACGUUACCCGAAAAAGAAGCACCGGCUAACUCCGUGCCAGCAGCCGCGGUAAUACGGAGGGUGCUAGCGUUAAUCAGAAUUACUGGGCGUAAAGAGCACGUAGGUGGUUUUUUAAAGUUCAGAUGUGAAAUCCCUGGGCUUAACCUGGAACUGCAUUUUGAAACUGAAAUACUAGAGUAUCGUAGAGGGAGGUAGAAUUCUAGGUGUAGCGGUGAAAUGCGUAGAUAUCUGGAGGAUACCUGUGGCGAAAGCGGCCUCUAAACGAAUACUGACACUGAGGUGCGAAAGCGUGGGGAGCAAACAGGGAUUAGAUACC